RNAcentral lists this ribosomal RNA (253 nucleotides) under uncultured bacterium. RNAcentral describes it as "partial 16S ribosomal RNA". It matches the Rfam family "Bacterial small subunit ribosomal RNA", at positions 524 to 776 of the family's 1533-position model. The record is from RNAcentral.
UACGGAGGGUGCAAGCGUUAUCCGGAUUCAUUGGGUUUAAAGGGUGCGUAGGCGGAAAAUUAAGUCAGUGGUGAAAGCCCACAGCUCAACUGUGGAACUGCCAUUGAUACUGGUUUUCUUGAAUCUACCUGAAGUGGGCGGAAUAUGUCAUGUAGCGGUGAAAUGCUUAGAUAUGACAUAGAACACCGAUUGCGAAGGCAGCUCACUAAAGUAGUAUUGACGCUGAGGCACGAAAGCGUGGGGAGCGAACAGG